Cadophora sp. M221 is the source of this 95-nucleotide non-coding RNA. The record is from the annotation of a GenBank genome assembly. NCBI's taxonomy places the organism in Eukaryota, Fungi, Ascomycota, Leotiomycetes, Helotiales, Ploettnerulaceae.
GUCCAUUUGGCCGAGUGGUCUAAGGCGAUGGUUUUAAGUUAAUUCUUGAUCACCAUUUUCAUUGCGAAGCGUGAGUUCGAACCUCACAGUGGACA